UUAUCGCUGUUUGUAAGAGGUCUGAGAUUAUGAGCAAACUACCCAGUCACACGACAGGGAUAAGAAAAGACUUCCUUCCACAUUAAGGAAUGAUAACGCGUACACCUGGUCUCUGUGGAAGUGGUGGUGAUAGACAGGUGUUGUGAUUCAUCCUGAGCUCUUGGCAUGUUCAGCAACUGAAAGUAGAAAACAAAUUAAGAAAAAGUCGGUGUCUUCGUGCUGAGGGAAGUGUUCAAGGAACGGGGCUCCUGUGAAAGACAGAGGAUGACCCAGUUCUCUUCCUCCGCCCUGUGUGACCUGGAUAUUGGACUCAGGGUGCUCCAUGUGGAAGCCGAACUGAGGAGCCUUGUCCUGGGGGCCCGCGAGAGAAGACCUGCAGGCUCUAGCUGGCGCUCAGCCUCCACAAAUAACGACUUUGAACCGUGCUCAGCUCAGUGUUUUCCAGCAUUGCCUAAACAACUUGACCUGUGGCUCCAUCACCUCCUCCCAGGCAGACUGGUUUGCCCUGUGUCCAGAAGCAGGUGGUGCCAUCUCUCAGACAGGCCUGAAGUCCUGGGAACACCAGUCUCACAGCGGCAGGCUCUAUCAUCACUGUCUGAGAGCGCUGCUGCUGUGUGCCAGGGGUGCUCCCUCUUGGAUCCGGAGACUUUGGUCACUGCCUUCAAAGCCCGGAGUGAUGAGCUCCUUGGUGACCAGACGUGGAGCUGUGAAAACGGGUUUGCAAGUCCAGCACCUGGGUCUCGGGAUUGCUAGCCCUGGGGGAGCGUCUCACCCACCCUUGACUCAUCCUUGUCUGGGUGGAUUAGAAGAUCCCAGCCCGUCGAAUGGCGGCAGAAGUGAAUGAAUAACCACCAUCUUGAAUUAGAAGAACAUGGAGAAUGCUGGCAUCUGCUUCAUCUCCUCUGUCCUUCUGAGACCAGGCAACGCAUCUGCUAGACUCUUGGCACUGACGUACUGGUGAGAAGAUGGAGCUGAUUCUCUGGAGCUGGAGUCACAGGCAGUGAGUUGCCUCAGGUGGGUUCUGAGAACUCAGCUUGAAUCCUCUGGAAUGGGGGACUGGGGUGCUGGAAGGGCAUGAUGCACUCUUGACCACUGAGUCAACUCUCCGGCCCCUACCUUUUCAAACCCAGUAACAUCGAGCAUUUUUCUCUUGUCCCUCUUCACAUGCAUAUAGGUGUGCACAUACAAACACACACACUUAUACACAUGAUUCUAAUUUGAGUGAAAAUUUCCCCUGUUAGAACCAACACUAAAGAGAUCACAAACAUUUUGUGCAGACAUAUUUGAA
Molecule: non-coding RNA, 1288 nt
Organism: Myodes glareolus (Bank vole)
Lineage: Eukaryota; Metazoa; Chordata; Mammalia; Rodentia; Cricetidae
Source: RefSeq, a predicted model, not a curated record